Molecule: small nucleolar RNA, 130 nt
Organism: Camelus dromedarius (Arabian camel)
Lineage: Eukaryota; Metazoa; Chordata; Mammalia; Artiodactyla; Camelidae
Source: Ensembl
GUUGAGGUCUAUCCCGAUGGGGCUUUUUCCGGAGACCUGCAUUGUUGGAAAUGCCUCAUAGAGUAACUAUGUGGUUUCCUUUACUCACAGAACUACAUGUUAGAUCUGUGGAAAGAACUACAAGACAGAG